UACUAUGGCUAUGCCACCCUGAAUGUGCCUGAUCUCGUCCGAUCUCUGAAGCUAAGCAGGGUCGGGCCUGGUUAGUACCUUGGAUGGGAGACCACCUAGGAAUACCAGGUGCUGUAGGCA
This 120-nucleotide ribosomal RNA is filed under the name Pteropus alecto (black flying fox). The record is from RNAcentral. Lineage: Eukaryota; Metazoa; Chordata; Mammalia; Chiroptera; Pteropodidae.